UCGGGACCUAAGGCGAGGCCGAAAGGCGUAGUCGAUGGACAACAGGUAGAGAUUCCUGUACCCGUAUAUAUGUGAAGGAAUGACGGAGAGAGGAAGCUGCAGCCAGCGGCUGGAAGAGCUGGUGCAAGCGAGAUAUCGGGAUGGCAGGCAAAUCCACCAUCCGAAACGAGAAGGCGUGAAGCGUACGGAAAGCUACGGCGAGUACGGAAGGCAGUGGAGGAACUUCCAAGAAAAGUUUCUAACGUUAAGUAUAUAUGGCCCGUACCGAAAAUGGACACACAUGGGUGAGGAGAGAAUCCUAAGGUGAGCGAGAGAACUAUAGCUAAGGAACUCUGCAAAAUGACUCCGUAACUUAGGGAGAAGGAGUGCUCAUAGAGAUAUGAGCCGCAGUGAAACGGCCCAAGCGACUGUUUACCAAAAACACAGCUCUCUGCUAAGCCGCAAGGCGAAGUAUAGGGGGUGACGCCUGCCCGGUGCUGGAAGGUUAAGGGGAGGGGUUAACGCAAGUGAAGCCCUGAACUGAAGCCCCAGUAAACGGCGGCCGUAACUAUAACGGUCCUAAGGUAGCGAAAUUCCUUGUCAGGUAAGUUCUGACCCGCACGAAAGGCGUAACGAUUUGGGCGCUGUCUCAGCUGUAGACUCGGUGAAGUCUUAGUACCUGUGAAGAUGCAGGUUACCCGCGACUAGACGGAAAGACCCCAUGGAGCUUCACUGCAGGUUGAUAUUGGGAUUUGAUGCAGCAUGUACAGGAUAGGUAGGAGGCAAAGAGAUGGAUACGCCAGUAUUCAAGGAGCCGCUGUUGGGAUACUACCCCUGUUGUAUUGGAUUUCUAACCGGACGACGUAGAGCCGUUGACGGGACAGUGUCAGUCGGGCAGUUUGACUGGGGCGGUCGCCUCCCAAAGAGUAACGGAGGCGCCCAAAGAUACCCUCAGCUUGGAUGGAAACCAAGCGCAGAGUGCAAAGGCAAAAGGGUGUUUGACUGCGAGACCCACAAGUCGAGCAGGGACGAAAGUCGGGCUUAGUGA
This 1027-nucleotide ribosomal RNA is filed under the name human gut metagenome. Its description in RNAcentral is "bacterial LSU rRNA". It matches the Rfam family "Bacterial large subunit ribosomal RNA", at positions 1384 to 2418 of the family's 2925-position model. The record is from RNAcentral.